GGAAUUCCUAGUGGAGCGGUGGAAUGCGUAGAUAUUAGGAAGAACACCAAUAGGCGAAAGCAGCUAACUGGUCAUAUAUUGACACUAAUGGACGAAAGCGUGGGGAGCAAACAGGAUUAGAUACCCUGGUAGUCCACGCCGUAAACGAUGAUCAUUAGUUGGUGGCAAAAGUCACUAGCACAGCUAACGCGUUAAAUGAUCCGCCUGAGUAGUAUGCUCGCAAGAGUGAAACUUAGAGGAAUUGACGGGAACCCGCACAAGCGGUGGAGCAUGUGGUUUAAUUUGAAGAUACGCGUAGAACCUUACCCACUCUUGACAUCCUCGCAAAACUAUAGAGAUAUAGCGGAGGCUAACGAGAUGACAGAUGGUGCAUGGUUGUCGUCAGCUCGUGUCGUGAGAUGUUAGGUUAAGUCCUGCAACGAGCGCAACCGUUUUCUUUAGUUGGUAACAUUAAGUUGAGAACCCUAGAGAUACUGCCGGUGCAAACCGGAGGAAGGCGGGGAUGACGUCAAAUCAUCAUGCCUCUUACGAGUGGGGCAACACACGUGCUACAAUGGCUACUACAAAGAGCAGCGAAACAGUGAUGUCAAGCUAAUCUCAAAAAAGUAGUCUCAGUUCGGAUUGAAGUCUGCAACU
This 636-nucleotide ribosomal RNA is filed under the name Mesomycoplasma ovipneumoniae. RNAcentral describes it as "bacterial SSU rRNA". It matches the Rfam family "Bacterial small subunit ribosomal RNA", at positions 663 to 1312 of the family's 1533-position model. Lineage: Bacteria; Bacillati; Mycoplasmatota; Mycoplasmoidales; Metamycoplasmataceae. The record is from RNAcentral.